AGAGUCCCAGGGAGUCCCACCAGCCUAGUGGCCAGACCUUCUGUGGGAUCACCGGACCCACCUGGAACCCCACUUGCUGGCCCUCACGGAAGAGCAACAGCUGAUGUUUGAGAAACUGACUCUGUAUUGCGACAGCUACAUCCAGCUCAUCCCCAUUUCCUUCGUGCUGGGCUUCUACGUGACGCUGGUUGUGACCCGCUGGUGGAACCAGUACGAGAACCUGCCGUGGCCCGACCGCCUCAUGAGCCUGGUGUCGGGCUUCGUCGAAGGCAAGGACGAGCAAGGCCGGCUGCUGCGGCGCACGCUUAUCCGCUAUGCCAACCUGGGCAACGUGCUCAUUCUGCGCAGCGUCAGCACCGCCGUCUACAAGCGCUUCCCCAGCGCCCAGCACCUGGUGCAAGCAGGCUUUAUGACUCCAGCAGAACACAAGCAGUUGGAGAAACUGAGCUUACCACACAACAUGUUCUGGGUGCCCUGGGUGUGGUUUGCCAACCUGUCGAUGAAGGCGUGGCUUGGAGGUCGAAUCCGGGACCCUAUCCUGCUCCAGAGCCUGCUGAACGAGAUGAACACCUUGCGUACUCAGUGUGGACACCUGUAUGCCUACGACUGGAUUAGUAUCCCACUGGUGUAUACACAGGUGGUGACUGUGGCGGUGUACAGCUUCUUCCUGACUUGUCUAGUUGGGCGGCAGUUUCUGAACCCGGCCAAGGCCUACCCAGGCCAUGAGCUGGACCUCGUUGUGCCCGUCUUCACGUUCCUGCAGUUCUUCUUCUACGUUGGCUGGCUGAAGGUGAGCCUCUCCAGGGCCCCGCUGGGCUGGAGGCAUGGCCAGAGGGGUCAUGGCCAGCAGCUGCCUGAGAUGAGGAUGCAGUGUCAGGAAAGGAAAGUCUCAUGGGUAGAAAGUAGCCAGGCGUGGUGGUGCACGCCUGUAAUCCCAGCUACUCAGGAGGCUGAGGCAGGAGAAUCACUUGAACCCAGGAGGCAGAGAGGUUGUGGUGAGUUGAGAUUGUGCCACUGCACUCCAGCCAGGGCAAAAGAAUGAAACUCUGUCUCAAAAACAACAACAACAACAACAAAACAAAGCCCUAAGGUUCACUAGCCCCCGCCUUUUAGAAGGCAGAUUGGCACCACCUCUCCUUAUUCAAGAUGCCUCUUGGGCUGUCUUGUUCCUCACCUCAAGUGGCUUGUCCAGGUAUUCCCUCCCACCACAGCCAGUACUCCGAACAGGUGUUCUGAAUCACACAGUUUUCUCUCCACCUCUUUAUCUUUCCUUCCUUCUGUUGCCCACCCGCUCUCUCUCCCUUCCUACCCUCCUUUAUUUUUUGGUAGUGGGUGUAAAUCUCUGUCUCUGCCCUUCCUGUCGCUGUGACACACACACACACAGACACACACACACACACACGUGCAUUC
Molecule: small RNA, 1410 nt
Filed under: Pongo abelii (Sumatran orangutan)
Lineage: Eukaryota; Metazoa; Chordata; Mammalia; Primates; Hominidae
Description: retained intron
Source: RNAcentral